RNAcentral lists this ribosomal RNA (747 nucleotides) under Otidea unicisa. RNAcentral describes it as "partial large subunit ribosomal RNA". It matches the Rfam family "Eukaryotic large subunit ribosomal RNA", at positions 76 to 836 of the family's 3401-position model. The record is from RNAcentral. Lineage: Eukaryota; Fungi; Ascomycota; Pezizomycetes; Pezizales; Pyronemataceae.
UGCCUUAGUAACUGCGAGUGAAGCGGCAAAAGCUCAAAUUUGAAAUCUGACGUUUUUGACGUCCGAAUUGUAAUUUGGAGGGAUAUCUUCGGAGCCGGCGCCGUCCUAAGUUCUUUGGAACCAGACAUCACAGAGGGUGAGAAUCCCGUACCUGGAUGGCUGUCCUGCUCCAUGUGAAGUGUCUCCGACGAGUCGAGUUGUUUGGGAAUGCAGCUCAAAAUGGGUGGUAAAUUUCAUCUAAAGCUAAAUAUUGGCGAGAGACCGAUAGCGCACAAGUAGAGUGAUCGAAAGAUGAAAAGCACUUUGAAAAGAGAGUCAAAUAGUACGUGAAAUUGUUGAAAGGGAAGCGCUUGAGACUAGAUUCAGCCGGCGGUCAUCAGCCAUGUUUUUAUGUGGUGCACUUGCCGUCGGUUGAGCCAGCAUCGGUUCUGAUGGCGGGAUAAAGGUUCCAGGAAUGUGGCUCCGCCAUCUGGUGGAGUGUUAUAGCCUGAAGCGCAAUGCCGCCUGUCGGGACCGAGGACCGCGCUUAUGCUAGGAUGCUGGCUAAAAGGUCUUAAGCGGCCCGUCUUGAAACACGGACCAAGGAGUCUAACAUCUAUGCGAGUGUUCGGGUGGAAAACCCUUGCGCGUAAUGAAAGUGAACGGAGGUGGGAACCCUUUGGGGUGCACCAUCGACCGAUCCCGAUGUUUACGGAAGGAUUUGAGUAGAAGCAUAGCUGUUGGGACCCGAAAGAUGGUGAACUAUGC